Molecule: ribosomal RNA, 1103 nt
Filed under: Acinetobacter nectaris
Lineage: Bacteria; Pseudomonadati; Pseudomonadota; Gammaproteobacteria; Moraxellales; Moraxellaceae
Description: bacterial SSU rRNA
Rfam family: Bacterial small subunit ribosomal RNA
Source: RNAcentral
AAGCCUGAUCCAGCCAUGCCGGGUGUGGAAGAAGGCCUUAUGGUUGUAAAGCACUUUAAGCGAGGAGGAGGCUUACCUAGCUAAUUUCUAGGCUAAGUGGACGUUACUCGCAGAAUAAGCACCGGCUAACUCUGUGCCAGCAGCCGCGGUAAUACAGAGGGUGCAAGCGUUAAUCGGAAUUACUGGGCGUAAAGCGCGCGUAGGUGGCCAUUUAAGUCAAAUGUGAAAUCCCCGAGCUUAACUUGGGAAUUGCAUUCGAUACUGGAUGGCUAGAGUAUAGGAGAGGAAGGUAGAAUUCCAGGUGUAGCGGUGAAAUGCGUAGAGAUCUGGAGGAAUACCGAUGGCGAAGGCAGCCUUCUGGCCUAAUACUGACACUGAGGUGCGAAAGCAUGGGGAGCAAACAGGAUUAGAUACCCUGGUAGUCCAUGCCGUAAACGAUGUCUACUAGCCGUUGGGUCCUUUGAGGACUUAGUGGCGCAGCUAACGCGAUAAGUAGACCGCCUGGGGAGUACGGUCGCAAGACUAAAACUCAAAUGAAUUGACGGGGGCCCGCACAAGCGGUGGAGCAUGUGGUUUAAUUCGAUGCAACGCGAAGAACCUUACCUGGCCUUGACAUACUAAGAACUUUCUAGAGAUAGAUUGGUGCCUUCGGGAACUUAGAUACAGGUGCUGCAUGGCUGUCGUCAGCUCGUGUCGUGAGAUGUUGGGUUAAGUCCCGCAACGAGCGCAACCCUUUUCCUUACUUGCCAGCAUUUCGGAUGGGAACUUUAAGGAUACUGCCAGUGACAAACUGGAGGAAGGCGGGGACGACGUCAAGUCAUCAUGGCCCUUACGGCCAGGGCUACACACGUGCUACAAUGGUCGGUACAGAGGGUUGCUACACAGCGAUGUGAUGCUAAUCUCAAAAAGCCGAUCGUAGUCCGGAUUGGAGUCUGCAACUCGACUCCAUGAAGUCGGAAUCGCUAGUAAUCGCGGAUCAGAAUGCCGCGGUGAAUACGUUCCCGGGCCUUGUACACACCGCCCGUCACACCAUGGGAGUUUGUUGCACCAGAAGUAGAUAGUCUAACCCUCGGGAGGACGUUACCACGGGGGGCCCAAGGUGC